Molecule: long non-coding RNA, 519 nt
Filed under: Coturnix japonica (Japanese quail)
Lineage: Eukaryota; Metazoa; Chordata; Aves; Galliformes; Phasianidae
Description: lncRNA (ENSCJPG00005014805.1)
Source: RNAcentral
AUGACAAUACUCUUGCAGGACUACAUGUUUCAGCAUAGAUACGUAAAAAGAGAACUGGAGAUGUUCAUGUCUGACAGGCAUAUAGCACUUUAUGUGAGAAGGAAGAAGUGCAGAUAUGGGAGUAACAGUGGCAUUGAAAUGAUGGUUAUCAUCUCACUACAAGGACAAGGGAUGUUGAAGUUCUUGGUCUGUAUUUCCUUCAACAUCUCCAAGAAGCCAUUUUUGAAAAUAGACAUCAUUAUAAUUUGGUUAAUCAGAUAUUUCAAAUGGAUGCUGUACAUCAUAGUUGAGAUAGUUUAUUCAUCUAUUUGCUUAGAAUUCCUGGGAGAACACAGCCAAGUGAAUUUUCCUUGGUUAUGAAGUUCUACAGCUUCCUUGGGAAUCUCCCUGUUCUGCCAGUAGUUUCUACAGAAUAUUUCAUUUUCUCUAAGACCAAAGCAUUAAUUACCAUAAAGAAGCAAACUUAUCAUGACUGACAGUGGUAAUAAAGUGCUGCAGAAUAGCUCUUGAAAAAAGUAA